Populus nigra (black poplar) is the source of this 2405-nucleotide long non-coding RNA. RefSeq lists it as uncharacterized. NCBI's taxonomy places the organism in Eukaryota, Viridiplantae, Streptophyta, Magnoliopsida, Malpighiales, Salicaceae. The record is from RefSeq and is a predicted model, not a curated record. The transcript is spliced from 2 exons.
UAGAAAGAAAUUUCCCAUGAACAGUGUUCGGAUUAAGCCUUCCAAUGGCCUAUAUAUUUACCAUUCAGGAAGGUUAUCAAAUCUAUGGUGGAACUUCGGCGACCUGAAAUCUCAUUUCCUCCGUUCUGGUAUUCCUGAGCAGUCGUUGAAGUUAUUCAGAGUUACUUCCUCGGUUGCCAUUUCACUGCCGAAAGAGUUGAUUUUUCUUCUUUUUAUAUUUUUUUAUAUGUGACUGUGGAGUGACUUGUCAGGUAUGUACUGGGAAGUUUUCCUCAACACGUCUCCGCAGAAAAUCAAUUGAAAGGCUUUGGUGGGUCUACAAGCUGGUACACUGAUAAUAUUUCGAGAGGAGGUUCUUACACCAGCAAUAUUUGGACGACUAAUCUAUGCGGGCCACACCCAAAUGUUUGCCCCACAGCAUGUGUGUUGAACCCUAGACAGCUUCUGCGAAGCUUCCUUCCUGCCUCAAUUUUUGGGAAUAUCUCUUUCGCAUCUUGGCACCUCGGCUUUAACUUCUAAAAUCCCAGUUUCUUAAUUAAACAAUAAAAAAAAAUCAAUGGAUAGCAUUUUUUUGGGUAAUCGGAGGGAUACAUAUUGUUAUGUAAUUAUCAAUUAUCUGUUAUCAUCCCAUUUUCUUAAAGGUUUUGUUUUCUUCUUCUUAUAAAACUGCUGAACUGCAUAAUUUAUAAGAAGACAAAUUUCCUGCAAGAAUUAAUAUUACAAAAUAGACAACAUCGAAUGACAUCUCUUGCCCAAAUCGAGGGGCCAAAGUUUCUCAUGAAUGUUUCGAGAAUAUAUAUAUACGCACACAUACAGACGACAAUAAUUACAAGCUCAUGCAAUUUCCUCGAAGUUUCCUCCUCUUCGGCAGAGGGCUGAACAAAAUCGGCAUGCAGGUACCACCUUUUUUGUUUGCAUUGCUUGUUAUCGACGUAUACUUCUUUUAUGACCAGAAACCAGCUCGUGGUAUGUCAUUAUUGGUCGAGGUGAUAGAGUCGAAGGAUAUUGCUGCCUGUCAAUUUGGAUAUUCAGUGAGUGGCUCAAAUCAUACACGGUACACAGUACUUGAUGGCCUCAGACACCGACUAUUUUUCUCAACUUGAACGUAAUCUAUGUCACGAGUAUCUUUCAGUUAAGCCGACCUCAAAACUAGGCAACUUUCAUAGUCGUAGUAAAUAUUUAAAAGAUGGGCUUGGUAUUAUUUUUUAAAAUAUUUUUUAUUUUAAAAUAAUAUUUUUUUAUUUUUAAAAAUUAUUUUUUAUAUUAGCAUAUUAAAAUAAUAUAAAAAUACUAAAAUAUAUUAAUUUAAAGCAAAUACAAAAAUUUUAAAUUUUAAAUUAUUUUUUUUAAAAUACAAAAACAUACAAACACAUAGUUUACUUUGACUAGAUGACUUGUAGGAAAGUAUAAUGAGGAUGGUGGAAAAGCUAAAUAGAAAUGCAACCUACGGAACUAAGGCUGUAUGUAAUUAUGUUUUAACCUAUGUUUAUGUGUAUUUUAAAAAUAUGUUUGGAAUGAAAAAAAUAUAAAAUUGUUGUUUUUUUAUUGUUUUUUUAAUAAUUUUGAUAUAUUAAUAUAAAAAAUAAAAAAUAUUUUUAAAAAGCAUAUGUUAUACAAGAAAUAUUAGGUAUGUUCAAAUUUUAGAUGAUUGGAGAACUUCGAGAAGUCUACAAAGGUUGAAAUUAUAAUCCCACCAAGAAAGAGCACAUGCACAUGAAGCAUAGCUAAAUUAUAAUCCCACCAAGAGCACAUGCACCCUUUCCAUGCUAGAAACACAUGCUACUAUUUUUUUUAUUGCCUCUACCCGAUUUUGAGCGGGCAGAGAAAUUACUCUGGAAUCUUCUCCUGACACUCACCCUUCUCAUCUCUUAUGAAUAAUGUCUCAUCUACAAGAUUUCCUCCCAUUUUAUAUUUGAUAACAAAAUCAAAUCCUAUCAGCUUGUAUAGCCUCCUUUGUUAUGUAAUGACCCCACAAAUUUUUGAGACCCUGCUGCUAUUUUUUUUAGUUUCAGCUUUCUGGAAGUGGAGGCAUCUGUAGAAUUUAACACAAACAGGAGCUUGUUUAGGAAGUGAUGGAAUCUGAUGAUCUUGCUUAUGCUAGGGUAGUAAGCCCUUUGGGCCACAAAAGAGCUCCUUAUACUUAUUCGAGAGUGGCUACGUUGGUGGAGGAAUCCGGCUGUCUUCCUUGGUGGAGCUCCCAUCAUGAAUAGCUUCAGUAAAACCCAUUCUUUUGUCUUGACAGUCACCUUCUCUGUUUGGUGCUCAUUGAAUUUAUUUGGAAUAACAUUAGGAUAAUUAUAAGAUAGGAAUAACAUUAGGAUAAUUAUAAGAUAGUCCACAACGAUUUGGACUCUCUUCCAAUUGUAAUGCAUGCCUUAAUUACUAUCCUGACCUUUAAGUGUUUA